GACGAACGCUGGCGGCGUGCUUAACACAUGCAAGUCGAACGGAAAGGCCCUGCUUUUGUGGGGUGCUCGAGUGGCGAACGGGUGAGUAACACGUGAGUAACCUGCCCUUGACUUUGGGAUAACUUCAGGAAACUGGGGCUAAUGCCGGAUAGGAGCUCCUGCUGCAUGGUGGGGGUUGGAAAGUUUCGGCGGUUGGGGAUGGACUCGCGGCUUAUCAGCUUGUUGGUGGGGUAGUGGCUUACCAAGGCUUUGACGGGUAGCCGGCCUGAGAGGGUGACCGGCCACAUUGGGUCUGAGAUACGGCCCAGACUCCUACGGGAGGCAGCAGUGGGGAAUAUUGCACAAUGGGCGGAAGCCUGAUGCAGCAACGCCGCGUGCGGGAUGACGGCCUUCGGGUUGUAAACCGCUUUCGCCUGUGACGAAGCGUGAGUGACGGUAAUGGGUAAAGAAGCACCGGCUAACUACGUG
RNAcentral lists this ribosomal RNA (468 nucleotides) under uncultured bacterium. RNAcentral describes it as "partial 16S ribosomal RNA". It matches the Rfam family "Bacterial small subunit ribosomal RNA", at positions 28 to 507 of the family's 1533-position model. The record is from RNAcentral.